AACUUUCAACAACGGAUCUCUUGGUUCUGGCAUCGAUGAAGAACGCAGCGAAAUGCGAUAAGUAAUGUGAAUUGCAGAAUCCAGUGAACCAUCGAAUCUUUGAACGCACAUUGCGCCCGCCAGCACUCUGGCGGGCAUGCCUGUCCGAGCGUCAUC
This 156-nucleotide ribosomal RNA is filed under the name Ophiocordyceps sinensis. RNAcentral describes it as "5.8S ribosomal RNA". It matches the Rfam family "5.8S ribosomal RNA". Rfam says of the family: 5.8S ribosomal RNA (5.8S rRNA) is a component of the large subunit of the eukaryotic ribosome. It is transcribed by RNA polymerase I as part of the 45S precursor that also contains 18S and 28S rRNA. Lineage: Eukaryota; Fungi; Ascomycota; Sordariomycetes; Hypocreales; Ophiocordycipitaceae. The record is from RNAcentral.